CCGUGGUAUUCUAGAGCUAAUACAUGCUAAAAACCCCGACUCCGGGAGGGGUGUAUUUAUUAGAUAAAAAACCAACGCCCUUCGGGGCUCCGUGGUGAAUCAUAAUAACUUAACGAAUCGCAUGGCCUUGCGCCGGCGAUGGUUCAUUCAAAUUUCUGCCCUAUCAACUUUCGAUGGUAGGAUAGUGGCCUACCAUGGUCUCAACGGGUAACGGGGAAUUAGGGUUCGACUCCGGAGAGGGAGCCUGAGAAACGGCUACCACAUCCAAGGAAGGCAGCAGGCGCGCAAAUUACCCAAUCCCGACACGGGGAGGUAGUGACAAUAAAUACUGAUACAGGGCUCUUUUGGGUCUUGUAAUUGGAAUGAGUACAAUUUAAAUCCCUUAACGAGGAACAAUUGGAGGGCAAGUCUGGUGCCAGCAGCCGCGGUAAUUCCAGCUCCAAUAGCGUAUAUUAAAGUUGUUGCAGUUAAAAAGCUCGUAGUUGAACCUUGGGCCUGGCUGGCCGGUCCGCCUCACCGCGUGUACUGGUCCGGCCGGGCCUUUCCUUCUGGGGAGCCGCAUGGCCUUCACUGGCCGUGUCGGGGAACCAGGACUUUUACUUUGAAAAAAUUAGAGUGUUCAAAGCAGGCCUAUGCUCGAAUACAUUAGCAUGGAAUAAUAGAAUAGGACGUGUGGUUCUAUUUUGUUGGUUUCUAGGACCGCCGUAAUGAUUAAUAGGGAUAGUCAGGGGUGUCUGUAUUCAACUGUCAGAGGUGAAAUUCUUGGAUUUGUUGAAGACAAACUACUGCGAAAGCAUUCACCAAGGAUGUUUUCAUUAAUCAGUGAACGAAAGUUAGGGGAUCGAAGACGAUCAGAUACCGUCGUAGUCUUAACCAUAAACUAUGCCAGCUAGGGAUCGGACGGUGUUAUUAUUUUGACCCGUUCGGCACCUUACGAGAAAUCAAAGCGUUUGGGUUCUGGGGGGAGUAUGGUCGCAAGGCUGAAACUUAAAGACAUUGACGGAAGGGCACCACCAGGCGUGGAGCCUGCGGCUUAAUUUGACUCAACACGGGGAAACUCACCAGGUCCAGAUUUGAUAAGGAUUGACAGAUUGAGAGCUCUUUCUUGAUUUCAAAGGUGGUGGUGCAUGGCCGUUCU
This 1138-nucleotide ribosomal RNA is filed under the name uncultured fungal contaminant. Its description in RNAcentral is "SSU rRNA". It matches the Rfam family "Eukaryotic small subunit ribosomal RNA", at positions 147 to 1294 of the family's 1831-position model. The record is from RNAcentral. Lineage: Eukaryota; Fungi.